RNAcentral lists this long non-coding RNA (430 nucleotides) under Homo sapiens (human). Its description in RNAcentral is "non-protein coding lnc-PIKFYVE-7:1". Lineage: Eukaryota; Metazoa; Chordata; Mammalia; Primates; Hominidae. The record is from RNAcentral.
CUCCUCCAUGGAACUUCUGUUGUCAUCCAGUGGCUGAAAUCAACUGGAAGCCUACAGGGAAAGACCUGCCUCCUGGGACACAGAGCAGGUCAGUAGGCAUUUGGUAGGAAUCUGCAUCAAACUGUUGGGCAAUGGUAGACAGCAACAUUGACGUCUGUAAAUUUACACUUGGAUUCUUAGUUUCUGGUUGGCUGCAUCCUUCUUCUGAAGGCCACUGCUCUUUUCAGAAGACCUCCCUAGAUGGCUAAGCUCUCUGGGUUGCAACAGUUGCUCUUUUUCCUUGAGCCUUAGGUUAGGGAGUUGGGAGGAAGUAAUGGCUUCCCCCACUGCUAGCUCCAGGGUGCUACACUUUCUCUUUUCUAGUUUCCCUAAUCUGGCUUACACCAUUAUAGAUAGACCCUUUAUUAAAAUAUCCUCAAUUUAUCCAUAU